RNAcentral lists this ribosomal RNA (245 nucleotides) under uncultured Actinoallomurus sp. Its description in RNAcentral is "partial 16S ribosomal RNA". It matches the Rfam family "Bacterial small subunit ribosomal RNA", at positions 524 to 767 of the family's 1533-position model. The record is from RNAcentral. Lineage: Bacteria; Bacillati; Actinomycetota; Actinomycetes; Streptosporangiales; Thermomonosporaceae.
UACGUAGGGCGCAAGCGUUGUCCGGAAUUAUUGGGCGUAAAGAGCUCGUAGGCGGUCUGUCACGUCUGCCGUGAAAACCCGAGGCUUAACCUCGUGGCUUGCGGUGGAUACGGGCAGACUAGAGGUAGGUAGGGGAGAAUGGAAUUCCCGGUGUAGCGGUGAAAUGCGCAGAUAUCGGGAGGAACACCGGUGGCGAAGGCGGUUCUCUGGGCCUUACCUGACGCUGAGGAGCGAAAGCGUGGGGA